GCGCUUGUCGGACAAUGGUCAGUCCCCCGGUCCCUCAAACCGGAUAUGGAGGGUUCGAUUCCCCCCAGGCGCA
This 73-nucleotide transfer RNA is filed under the name Myxococcales bacterium. Its description in RNAcentral is "tRNA-Glu". It matches the Rfam family "tRNA". Rfam says of the family: Transfer RNA (tRNA) molecules are approximately 80 nucleotides in length. Their secondary structure includes four short double-helical elements and three loops (D, anti-codon, and T loops). The record is from RNAcentral. RNAcentral also lists the same sequence under 1 other name. Lineage: Bacteria; Pseudomonadati; Myxococcota; Myxococcia; Myxococcales.